RNAcentral lists this ribosomal RNA (468 nucleotides) under uncultured bacterium. RNAcentral describes it as "partial 16S ribosomal RNA". It matches the Rfam family "Bacterial small subunit ribosomal RNA", at positions 28 to 507 of the family's 1533-position model. The record is from RNAcentral.
GACGAACGCUGGCGGCGUGCUUAACACAUGCAAGUCGAACGGAAAGGCCCUGCUUUUGUGGGGUGCUCGAGUGGCGAACGGGUGAGUAACACGUGAGUAACCUGCCCUUGACUUUGGGAUAACUUCAGGAAACUGGGGCUAAUACCGGAUAGGAGCUCCUGCUGCAUGGUGGGGGUUGGAAAGUUUCGGCGGUUGGGGAUGGACUCGCGGCUUAUCAGCUUGUUGGUGGGGUAGUGGCUUACCAAGGCUUUGACGGGUAGCCGGCCUGAGAGGGUGACCGGCCACAUUGGGACUGAGAUACGGCCCAGACUCCUACGGGAGGCAGCAGUGGGGAAUAUUGCACAAUGGGCGGAAGCCUGAUGCAGCAACGCCGCGUGCGGGAUGACGGCCUUCGGGUUGUAAACCGCUUUCGCCUGUGACGAAGCGUGAGUGACGGUAAUGGGUAAAGAAGCAGCGGCUAAGUACGUG